GACGAACGCUGGCGGCGUGCCUAAUACAUGCAAGUAGAACGCACAGUUUAUACCGUAGCUUGCUACACCAUAGACUGUGAGUUGCGAACGGGUGAGUAACGCCUAGCUAACCUGCCUGGUAGCGGGGGAUAACUAUUGGAAACGAUAGCUAAUACCGCAUAAUCUUGAUUAUUUCAUGAUAAUUGAUUGAAUGAUGCUAUUGCAUCACUACCAGAUGGACCUGCGUUGUAUUAGCUAGUAGGUGAGGUAACGGCUCACCUAGGCAACGAUACAUAGCCGACCUGAGAGGGUGAUCGGCCACACUGGAACUGAGACACGGCCCAGACUCCUACGGGAGGCAGCAGUAGGGAAUCUUCGGCAAUGGACGAAAGUCUGACCGAGCAACGCCGCGUGAGUGAAGAAGGUUUUCGGAUCGUAAAGCUCUGUUGUAAGAGAAGAAGGGAUGUGAGAGUGGAUAGUGCAGACUUGACGGUAACCGUACCAGAAGGGGCGGCUAACCUAGGG
Molecule: ribosomal RNA, 504 nt
Filed under: uncultured bacterium
Lineage: Bacteria
Description: partial 16S ribosomal RNA
Rfam family: Bacterial small subunit ribosomal RNA
Source: RNAcentral